RNAcentral lists this long non-coding RNA (792 nucleotides) under Phasianus colchicus (ring-necked pheasant). RNAcentral describes it as "lncRNA (ENSPCLG00000000178.1)". The record is from RNAcentral. Lineage: Eukaryota; Metazoa; Chordata; Aves; Galliformes; Phasianidae.
CAGGGGAGUUUGUAAGGCACAGAAAAGAACUUGCAAACUGAGAACAUAACACAGGUGGUUGAGAUUUUGCAGGGAUUGGGAGCUAGAUUAUUAAAUGCACUUGGCACAUCUCUGUACCUGCCUAGAGGGAUUUUCCAAAGCAACAUGAAGUAACAGAAACAUGCCAUUCUUUUUACCUAAGUUUGGAUGUCUGAUCAGCUAACUAACUAGUCUCUCUCUGGAAAGAGAUAAGAACUUCCAGAUUUCAUUGCAUGGAAAGAUAGGUGCAUGAGACAAAGUGGGUUGGAAUUCAUUUCAUUGUAUGAAGAAAGAAAGACAAAAUUAAUUUGAGGAAACCCCUGCUUGUAUUUCUACCAUUAAGACAAAAAUGUGGAAUUGUGUAAUUCGGAGAUGAUGGGAAGACUACAGUUGUCAAAACACAUUUUUUUCUGCUAGAUGGUGGUUAUCUUUUUCCUAGUGGCUUCUGACCCUGGCCUCCUGUCCUACUCAUACUGAUUAUCAGCCAGAUGCUUACUGCCAUGCCUACUAUCUAUGAGUAGACCUAGUUGAAGAAAAAUACAAAUCCAGGCAAAGGUUGGCAUACAUGUCAAGAGAACAUUCUCCAGCUGGGGCCUGCAGUAUAGAGAAUUGUAUACUCCAGAGGGCUCAUGGGACCUUGGGCAGAUUAUUAUGGUAAUAUUGGAGACUGCUGUCCUUUCCCUCCCACAGCUGGGCCGCCUCUCUCAUUGUAAGUAUUGAAGCAAUAUGUUUUGCAAAUUAUACACUGGGAACAACAGGGACCUGGGAAAGUGA